CACGUAGGGUGCGAGCGUUGUCCGGAUUUAUUGGGCGUAAAGAGCUCGUAGGCGGCUCAGUAAGUCAGGUGUGAAAACUCCAGGCUCAACCUGGAGACGCCACUUGAUACUGCUGUGGCUAGAGUCCGGUAGGGGAGCAUGGAAUUCCUGGUGUAGCGGUGAAAUGCGCAGAUAUCAGGAGGAACACCAGUGGCGAAGGCGGUGCUCUGGGCCGGAACUGACGCUGAGGAGCGAAAGCGUGGGGAGCGAACAGG
RNAcentral lists this ribosomal RNA (254 nucleotides) under uncultured bacterium. RNAcentral describes it as "partial 16S ribosomal RNA". It matches the Rfam family "Bacterial small subunit ribosomal RNA", at positions 524 to 776 of the family's 1533-position model. The record is from RNAcentral.